This 68-nucleotide transfer RNA is filed under the name Leptopilina boulardi. Its description in RNAcentral is "tRNA-Tyr". The record is from RNAcentral. Lineage: Eukaryota; Metazoa; Arthropoda; Insecta; Hymenoptera; Figitidae.
AGUAAUAUGUCUGAUUUAAGAAAUAAACUGUAAAUUUAUUCAAAAAUAUUCUAACUAUUUUAUUACUA